Molecule: ribosomal RNA, 245 nt
Filed under: uncultured bacterium
Lineage: Bacteria
Description: partial 16S ribosomal RNA
Rfam family: Bacterial small subunit ribosomal RNA
Source: RNAcentral
GUGAGGGGGAGGCAAAUCCCAGAAAUAACGUCCCAGUUCGGAUUGCAGUCUGCAACUCGACUGCAUGAAGCUGGAAUCGCUAGUAAUCGCGGAUCAGAAUGCCGCGGUGAAUACGUUCCCGGGUCUUGUACACACCGCCCGUCACACCAUGGGAGUUGGUAACGCCCGAAGUCAGUGACCUAACCGAGAGGGAGGAGCUGCCUAAGGCGGGACCGAUAACUGGGGUGAAGUCGUAACAAGGUAGC